Brachypodium distachyon (stiff brome) is the source of this 125-nucleotide non-coding RNA. NCBI's taxonomy places the organism in Eukaryota, Viridiplantae, Streptophyta, Magnoliopsida, Poales, Poaceae. The record is from Rfam.
AUAUUACUCCCUCCGUCCCAUAUUAAGUGACUCAAAUUUGCCUAAAUAUGAACGUAUCUAUGCCUAAAAUGUGUCUAGAUACAUGUAAUAGAAAGUCAGUUAAUACGGGAUGGAGGGAGCACUAU